GAUGAACGCUGGCGGCGUGCCUAAUACAUGCAAGUCGAGCGAACAGACGAGGAGCUUGCUCCUAUGAUGUUAGCGGCGGACGGGUGAGUAACACGUGGAUAACCUACCUAUAAGACUGGGAUAACUUCGGGAAACCGGAGCUAAUACCGGAUAACAUGUUGAACCGCAUGGUUCAACAGUGAAAGACGGUUUUGCUGUCACUUAUAGAUGGAUCCGCGCCGCAUUAGCUAGUUGGUAAGGUAACGGCUUACCAAGGCAACGAUGCGUAGCCGACCUGAGAGGGUGAUCGGCCACACUGGAACUGAGACACGGUCCAGACUCCUACGGGAGGCAGCAGUAGGGAAUCUUCCGCAAUGGGCGAAAGCCUGACGGAGCAACGCCGCGUGAGUGAAGAAGGUCUUCGGAUCGUAAAACUCUGUUAUUAGGGAAGAACAAAUGUGUAAGUAACUAUGCACGUCUUGACGGUACCUAAUCAGAAAGCCACGGCUAACUACGUG
This 497-nucleotide ribosomal RNA is filed under the name uncultured bacterium. Its description in RNAcentral is "partial 16S ribosomal RNA". It matches the Rfam family "Bacterial small subunit ribosomal RNA", at positions 28 to 507 of the family's 1533-position model. The record is from RNAcentral.